Molecule: long non-coding RNA, 825 nt
Filed under: Marmota monax (woodchuck)
Lineage: Eukaryota; Metazoa; Chordata; Mammalia; Rodentia; Sciuridae
Source: RNAcentral
GGGCGGUGGCGGUCGCCUUGGGGCGACCGGGUCCCUGCUCUGCCCGGCACGGCCGGGAGGCCCGACGGUGGCAGCUGCCGCGGGUCCCACAAGUUGUUUUCCUCGUGGCGACCAUUCAGCAAAACGCACGAUCCUUUCUCAAAGAUUUAAAUUUCGCGGAUGAAUUACCAUACACCGGUUGCUUAGCAACUAAAUUCAAGCAGGGCUAAGAAUAUGCAAGCUUUUUGUAUUCUCAUUAAUAAAAAUGCCACUCUGACACAGCAACCCGACUUUGGAUCACUGCAACUUCUGUAAAAGCCGUAGGAGAAUACAAACCGAUCCUGCCAUUUAAUUACAGAUCAAAAUGGCUUGAAACGCGAUGUUUUGUUCAUCUAUCUUCCUAAAAGCGAUGUAAAAAAUAACGGCUUUCAAGAGCAGUAGUAAAUUUUCUUCUUCUUUUUUUAAUGGAGUUGUCUAUCGGGAUUACUGAUAAUUGUCAACUGAAACCUUUUUGAAGCACAGGUUGAAAUAUCCCUUUUCAUCAACAUUUCUGUUCUUUCCCCCAAAACCCCCUCACCCUCUGAUCCUGUUCUUCUUCUUCACCCAAUAACUGUUGUUGUUGUGGUGGUGGUGGUGGUGGUGGAAAUGUCAAGGCCUUGGGAGCCCUAGGGUCUAAAAAGCAGUUAGGAGAGUAAUGGACAAGCCCAGUGGCUGGAGAAAUAGCAAAGGAAACUUCAGAAAGUUUCCUUGGAAGUUUGGGGCAGUUGCUGAAGGCCGAAGUGGCUUAAGUUCCAAGGAUUUGGCCAGAACUUUUGGGGAGGCUUGUGGGGAGUAAGGUAAGAAAAC